GGAUGUGAGGGUGAUCUGGCUGUGACAUCUGUCAUCCCAUUGAUCAUCAGGAUUGGUUCGGCUGAUCUAUCAGGAUUGAUUUGGCUGAUCUGGCUGGCUAGGCGGGUGUCCCCUUCCUCCCUCACUGCCCUAUCUGCAUCCUUCCCGAAGCUGUGCGCUCGGUCAAAGAGGAUGACCUUCUAAUAGAGAAGGACUGGCCUUCAGUCAAGGGUAUACCAGUAGCUGUGUGCUCCUGCUAGAACCUCCAAACAAGCUCUCAGGGGUACCACUGAAAACUCUCUUCUAGGCUUCCAGUGAAGAUGAUGAGUGAGCUUUCUGAGAAUAGCAGCAGCAUGUUCUCUGGGAUUCCUU
RNAcentral lists this small nuclear RNA (351 nucleotides) under Jaculus jaculus (lesser Egyptian jerboa). RNAcentral's name for it is "7SK RNA (ENSJJAG00000004039.1)". It matches the Rfam family "7SK RNA". From Rfam's summary of the family: 7SK was discovered as an abundant small nuclear RNA in the mid-70s but a possible function has only recently been suggested. Two independent studies have found that 7SK RNA binds the CDK9/cyclin T complex (known as elongation factor P-TEFb). P-TEFb activates transcription by phosphorylating the C-terminal domain of RNA polymerase II. The record is from Rfam by way of RNAcentral. Lineage: Eukaryota; Metazoa; Chordata; Mammalia; Rodentia; Dipodidae.